Molecule: long non-coding RNA, 1686 nt
Organism: Oreochromis aureus
Lineage: Eukaryota; Metazoa; Chordata; Actinopteri; Cichliformes; Cichlidae
Source: Ensembl
UUUUGUUCACAUUGUAUAAAUCAAGUAAGUUUAUUUUUUUAAUAUUUUUUUUGGCUAAUGGUGUGCCUAUUUUGGUCUCCAAGAAUAACUUCUCAAAAAAAGAGACUUAAUUUUUUGACUUUGCCAAAAUGAUAACACAAGAGACGUUAAGUGGUGCUAAUCCAGUGCUACAUUAGCCUAUUCCGCUGCAGGAACAUAGUGGGAGGUAGCCCUAAACAUUUACAGUUAUAGUCUUGUGGUUGGCCUUUUCAGUCUUAUUUUUCCAUUGCUUUAUAGGCUUAAAAAACCCAACAAUGUAAUUUUUUUUUUAAUGCCUUCGCCUGCAUUUUAAAUGCAAUCAGUUCGCAUUAAGGCAUACUGUUGUUCUUUCAGGACCACCCAGAAGUCUCCCAGGCUACACACUUUUUGUCCUACAAAAACAUCCUCGUUUCCAUACUCCUAACAAGUUCUUGUAGUGGAAGAUGUCCUAUACCCUGGUGUAAAGUUAGUUUAGGACAUUAUGUCCACUGUAAAUGUGUAUGUACAUAGAACACCUGCUGUUACUGGCAGGUUCUGCUCAACAGUUAAGGCUGAUUCCUAAACACAGAUGGUCAAACCAAGCACCAAGAUAGGUGUUAGAUGCAAAUUCUUUUAGUUUAGGAAUGAGGCUUAAUUUCACCUGGUAGCCUGUCAUAGCACUGUACAGUUAAACUUCUCAUCCACACUGAUCACAGAUCCACCGUGCUGCCAUGUAGCAGCAGUAACUACAAGUUUAAAAGUCUAGGCAUGGGAGUUCUGUCAAAAAAUAAAUAAAAACUGUAAAUGCUGCUAAAUCACAAACUAUUGACUUCCAUACCAACUACCGAACUGUCAGGAGAAGAGGAAUCUCACUCCACACACAGUUACUGCAUUUUCGUCCUUCAGUUCACCACGGACUCGGCAUGUUUCUCCAUGAUUUAGCAUGUCUUUCUGGCUUGCACUGAUGAUAGAAGAUUUCCAUGCCAAGCCAUGUAUUAAACUCGGAUGCAUCUCCAUAAUCCAAAAUGCCUCACCUGUCUUCCUUUGUCAGUUGUAAUAUUCUGGAGUUUUAUAUACUAGCGUGGCAGAAGGUCAAUGGGAGGCCACAAUUUUGAGACUAUUGAGAUGCACCCGUUGUCAUUCCUUUUCAGAAAGCCACAUCUACCAGGCGGGGCUUCUUAUCCACAGAAUGGCGAGACAAAUAUCACACUACUUGGCGAUAGCUAUUAACCAAACUGUAUGGAUGAUGGUCCUUUAAGUCUGGGACACUGUAGGGACUUCUACAUGCAUCUCCCAGAAACUACCACCAUUGUUGGAGUGGGUUGGGGAUGUUUUAGUGUGGCUUGUUUAAAAUGUUGAAUACUUCUGGCCUGUUUGGGAGGGCAACACAUUACAACCGCGUAGGUGGCGACGUUGUAGAACCCACACAAUUCUUUCGGUAAGAGACUUUCCAUUUCUAUGUCUGACGCGAAAUGGUGCAGACCCCAGAGAAAGCCCACAGACGGAGCCGUUUAACUUCAAACUGUCUCUAGAUCUGUUUUAUUCUGUCAUGUGUUUCCAGGAAGCUAACUUGACGCUGGUGAAUCUCCAGGGUACAUGUUGUAUAAAUUGCAAAAUUACUAGAAUGUUCAUAUUAGAUUAUAAGAUAUUAUUAAGGGCAAUGAAUAUUAUAUUGUAUCUUCAUCGAUG